UCAGCGGCGGACGGGUGAGUAAUGCCUAGGAAUCUGCCUGGUAGUGGGGGACAACGUUUCGAAAGGAACGCUAAUACCGCAUACGUCCUACGGGAGAAAGCAGGGGACCUUCGGGCCUUGCGCUAUCAGAUGAGCCUAGGUCGGAUUAGCUAGUUGGUGAGGUAAUGGCUCACCAAGGCGACGAUCCGUAACUGGUCUGAGAGGAUGAUCAGUCACACUGGAACUGAGACACGGUCCAGACUCCUACGGGAGGCAGCAGUGGGGAAUAUUGGACAAUGGGCGAAAGCCUGAUCCAGCCAUGCCGCGUGUGUGAAGAAGGUCUUCGGAUUGUAAAGCACUUUAAGUUGGGAGGAAGGGCAGUAAGUUAAUACCUUGCUGUUUUGACGUUACCGACAGAAUAAGCACCGGCUAACUUCGUGCCAGCAGCCGCGGUAAUACGAAGGGUGCAAGCGUUAAUCGGAAUUACUGGGCGUAAAGCGCGCGUAGGUGGUUUGUUAAGUUGGAUGUGAAAGCCCCGGGCUCAACCUGGGAACUGCAUC
RNAcentral lists this ribosomal RNA (539 nucleotides) under bacterium EP1.35. RNAcentral's name for it is "bacterial SSU rRNA". It matches the Rfam family "Bacterial small subunit ribosomal RNA", at positions 92 to 627 of the family's 1533-position model. The record is from RNAcentral.